UGAGGAAUAUUGCGCAAUGGGGGAAACCCUGACGCAGCAACGCCGCGUGGAGGACGAAGGUUUUCGGAUUGUAAACUCCUUAACUGGGGGAAGAGGAAGGACGGUACCCCAGGACGAAGACACGGCUAACUACGUGCCAGCAGCCGCGGUAACACGUAGGUGUCGAGCGUUAUCCGGAAUUACUGGGCGUAAAGGGUGCGCAGGCGGCGGUGCAAGUCUGGCGUGAAAGCUCCUGGCUUAACUGGGAGAGGACGUUGGAAACUGCAUGGCUAGAGUGAAUGAGAGGGGGGCGGAAAUCCCGGUGUAGUGGUGGAAUGCGUAGAGAUCGGGAAGAACACCAGAGGCGAAGGCGGCCCCCUGGCAUUUGACUGACGCUGAGGCACGAAAGCGUGGGUAGCGAACGGG
This 405-nucleotide ribosomal RNA is filed under the name uncultured Pseudomonadota bacterium. Its description in RNAcentral is "bacterial SSU rRNA". It matches the Rfam family "Bacterial small subunit ribosomal RNA", at positions 355 to 776 of the family's 1533-position model. The record is from RNAcentral. RNAcentral also lists the same sequence under 1 other name. Lineage: Bacteria; Pseudomonadati; Pseudomonadota.